Molecule: long non-coding RNA, 14411 nt
Filed under: Homo sapiens (human)
Lineage: Eukaryota; Metazoa; Chordata; Mammalia; Primates; Hominidae
Description: non-protein coding lnc-CRYBB2-3:1
Source: RNAcentral
CCAGGUCUGGGCAUGGGGGACAAAGGCUGGCUCUGCCUCUUGCCUUAGACAUUGAGGCUUUUUUGAUCUAGUCUCUCCCUUUUCUCAAUGAAAAUUCAAAUACCCCAAUUUUGGAGUCCCCAUCCCAUUCUCUAGCCUCACCUAUCCGGCCGGUUUGGUACCUAAAUGAAGGAACCAGCUAAGGGUCAGAUUGUUACUUUUCUCCCAACCCUUAAAGUAGCUAAUAAUUGGGAUAAUUCAGGCCCAAAUAUUUGGAUUUUUUGUUUUUUUUUUUUUGAGAUGGAGUCUCACUCUGUUGUCCAGGCUGGAGGGCAGAGGCAUGAUCUCAGCUCACUGCCACUUCUGCCUCCCGGGUUCAAGCAAUUCUUCUGCCUCAGCCUCCUGAGUAGCUGGGACUACAGGCACGUGCCACCACACCUGGCUAAUUUUUUGUAUUUUUAGUACAGGUGGGUUUCACCGUGUUAGCCAGGAUGGUCUCUAUCUCCUGACCUCAUGAUCCACCUGCCUCGGCCUUCCAAAGUGUUGGGAUUACAGGCGUGAGCCACUGCGCCCGGCUGGAGAUUUCUUAAAUUCAAAAUUCAAAAUUAUUAUUUUUUGAGACAAGGCCUCAUUUUGUCACCCAGGAAUGCAUUGGUGCAAUGACAGCUCACUGCAACCUUGACCUCCUCAGGUUCAGGUGUUCCCCCCACCUCAGGCUCCCAAGUAACUGGCACUAAGGCAUCAUGCCAAGCUAAUUUUUCUAUUUUUUUUUUUUUGUAUAGAUGGGGUUUCAUCAUGUUGCCCAGGCUUGGUUCACUUUUAAUAGUAAAGGACACCUCAAAUGUUUAGAUAUUUGCUUUCACUUUGGGCAAUUAUGAAUAUAGCUAUUAAAAACCUUGCUGUGUCUUGUUUAAAAAUUAUGUUUCCAAAAUAUAACUAAGGAAAUACUUAGGAUUAUAAUUACUUGCUUGUAUGGUAAGACCAGGUUUUUCUUUGUAAGAAUUUUGGGGCUGGGCACGGUGGCUCACGCCUGUAAUCCCAGCACUUUGGGAAGCUGAGGCGGGUGAUCACGAGGUCAGGAGAUCAAGACCAUCCUGGCCAACAUGGCGAGACCCCGCCUCCACUAAAAAUACAAAAAUCAGCUGGGCGUGGUGGCCUGUGCCUGUAAUCCCAGCUACUUGAGAGGCUGAGGCAGGAGAAUCGCUUGAACCAGGGAGUCAGAUGUUGCAGUGAGCCGAGUUCGCGCCACUGCACUCCAGCUUGGUGACAGAGCAAAACUGCGUCGCAAAAAACAACAACAAAAAAGAAUUUUGGUAGAAUUUUUUUUUUUUUUUUUUAACCAGUGAAAUCAUAUGAAUGUAGUGUUUUUGGUUUUUCCUUCUUUUGAAAGAUUAUUAAUCAUUGCUUCAAUUUCUAAAAUAAAUAUAGGCCUAUUCAGAUGAUCUAUUUUUCCCCAGAAGACUUUUGGUCUUCUAAAAUCGAUAAAAAGGAAUGAGCUCAUUUCAUCUAUGUAUCAAAUUGUGGGCAUAGAUGUGUUCAGAAUAUUCCUUUAUUAUUUUUUGAUUUAACUGCUCUUCAAUUGAUGCUAUUAGUACAUUGUAACAUCUUUCUUUCCUUUGUGGUUAGCCAAGGUAGAGGUUUAUCAAUGGUACUGAUCUCAAAGAACUGGCUUUUUGUUUUAUUGAUUUUCUCGGAUGAUUUUCUGUUUUCUAUUCCAUUGAUUUCUGCAAGAAUUGUUUUUUAAGCUUAGAGUAUGAAUUUAGAUUUUUCUCAUUAUUGACACCGCGUCAUGAAUGUAGUUCACUGAAUUCAAUCUCACUGAAAUGUACACUAAAUAAUUAAAAUAAUAUGUAUGCUUCACCAUAAUUUAAAAAGUAAAACACGAUAGGUGAUAAAUGUAGUAGCAGGAUAUGUAAAUCCACAGAAUUAAAUGGUCUUGUAACAUUUUGAAAAAUGAGGGGAUUGGCCUGGACCUUCAAAUGGGCAGGAGGUGUGAGGAGAUGCUCUCACAGAACCAUACAGUGCCUUUCUGUAUUAAUCAGUUCUUAACGCUAAUAUUUCACAUUUCUCCUCCUCUCCUUUGCUUUCCUUCCACACCAAAGAGAAUGGUCCAGCAGCAGCUCAGUCCAUGCUUGUCAACCACCCACCUCCAUAGACUUCAGCGCUGGUCCCCACAUCCCCCAAGGCUCCUAGUGGGAUUCCUGAGAAGCACCAAUGCACUGACUAUUACUCUAUGUUCUCCUAGCUUCUGUUCUGGACCUGGAAGAUAUUGCGCUUGAUAUUGCGGAGGAGGUGUUAUCUGAAAUGGUGAGAUGCAUUCCUUCAUCUGGAAGAGAAUUUUUUUUUUUUCUGGGGCUUCUUCCCUUAUUAAUGAAAUGAAGACAUAAAAGUCUGACCAUAUACAUAACAGAUGACUAAGACAAUUUUCUUGGUGGGGGGAAUAUCAAGUGAAUAUCAUUUUUGAUUGCCAUUGUCAAUCAAGCUUCAGUUGAUCAAGCUUCAGUUGGUCAUGGACUCUAGUGACCAGCCAUGAGUUUAUGAACAACUGAGGCCUAAUUGAUGAUGACAGUAAAAAAUGACAGCAUUACCUACAAACUGUCUGGUAGUGAGCAUAUUUUUUAGUAGCAACUUUUUCUUCUUGAAAAAUAAUUUUGUAUUUGCCAGCCAACAUGGACUUGCAAAUAUUCCAUGAAAACCCAUUGCCCAAAAUUCCUACCGUAUGUAUUUAUUAUUUUUAAAAAAAGCUUUAUUGAGAAAUAGUUGACAUGCAAAACAAUUCACCCAUUUAAAGUGGGUGAUUCAGUGUUUUUACUGUAUUUACAGGGUUGUGCAACCAUUGUACAAUCUCAUUUUAGAACGUUUUCAUUCCUCCACGAAGAAACCCUGUAUCCAUUAGUGGUUACUCCUCUCUUUUUCCAACCCCCACACCUCUGGCGAUAGGAAGCCACUCAUCUACUUUCUAUUGCUGUAGAUUUGCCUACUCCGGCCGUUUCUUUUUUAACUUGUUUUUUUUUUUUUUUUUUUUAAGUUCUGAGAUACAUGUGCAGGAUGUACAGGUUUGUUACAUAGGUAAAAGUGUGCCAUGGUGGUUUGCUGCACCUGUCAAACCAUCACCUAGGUAUUAAGCCCUGCAUGCAUUUGCUGUUUAUCCAGAUGCUCUCCCUUCCCCUGCCCCGACAGGCCCGAGUGUGUCUUGUUCUCUUCUCUAACACCGUAUAUAUCCUAAGACCACUCCCUUGCUGAUACAAAUCUAAGUGAUGGGUUGUGGGGGGCUCUAUUCCCUGCUUUUGUCUGGAGAGCCUGCCUGGCCUCAGGUUCCUGAUAGGAGUGAGGACCUGGAGUGCACUGUGAGAAACAGAUGGCUCAGUGAAGAACUGUCAUCAUCCACUGGAGUCCCUGGAAACAGCCGUAUCAUUUAGAUGGUGUGGGUUUGUGUGCAUGAGGGUUGGGAGUUAGCUAGGGAUGAAUUAAUGUGUAGUGAUUGUGAAUGUGUUUGUAAAUGUGUGUUUUUCCCCUAAAAUGUGGACCCGCAUGCCCAGCACAGUGCAAGUGUCAGUUUUCUUGAAUUCCUGGCCUAUGGUGGUUCUCUCACCUCAGCCUCCCGAGUCAUGUCAUUCUUCUAAUAAAAAGGAAGAAAAACUUCAACACCACCAUACACUUUACAUAAAUGACCUCUUUACUCCCUCACCACAGCUGUACCUGAAGGUCAGUUUAAUAUCCCUACUCCUUAUAUGGAGAGAGUGCAGAAAGGAAUGAACCCAGAUUUUGACCUCCUGAAUGGAAAAGGCAAAAGUGAACCCAGAAAUGGGUCCCGAUGUUGAUGGUCUGUAUUACUUAACUGUGUCAGCACUCAGGCUUGGUGAUAUGACCCUACACCAGGGAGUUCCAGCACCUAUGUGUGCCCCUGGUAGUGGUAGUGGAUGGCCUAUAAGCGUGCCAAACAUUGCCCAUCAUCAAAUGGGGCCCCAUUGGUCACAUAACCCUGGGUAGCAAAAGGUACACGGAACAAUAGACGUUGGCAUGGACAUUACUGUGAAAUAUACAUAGAAAGCCCACAGGCUUCUGGUCAGCUCACAGAUUCUGAGAAGUGUAAGGGAUCACAUGGAAUAGUGCAGGUCAACAUCUGUCAGUGCUGCGAUCAUUCCUUAGCACUUGGUCAAAGCAGGGAAGGAUCAGGAAGAUAUUGCAUUGUAUUUAGUAACAUGAGUACCUCAAGCCUUAGAAAUGCUCCAAUCCAUGGCCGGGCACGGUGGGAGGCUGAGACAGCCGAUCACCUGAGUCAGGAGUUUGAGACCAGCCUGGCCAACAUGGUGAAAGCCUGUAUUUUUAUACAAAAAGUAGUCAGGCAUGGUGGCACACACCUGUAAUCCCAGCUACUUGGGAGGCUGAGGCUGGAGAAUCACUUGAACCUGGGAGGUGGAGGUUGCAGUGAGCCAAGAUCGAACCCCUGCACUGCAGUCUGAGUGGCAGAGUGAAACUCUGUCUCAAAAAAAAAAAAAAAAAAAAAAGCUCCAAUCCAUAGCAGACGGACAAGGGCCAGUGCCACAUCAGAACUCAGAGGACAUUGUUGUUAGCCUGGUGCCCAUCAAUCUCACUGGAGACCUCCUGCAUCGCUACGUUAGUGAGGCUUAGCGCUCACCAUGUACUGAUCCCCAUGAUGGACUGUCCCACUGUCGGGGGCUGGUGUGAGCAUGAGCAGCCACUGACUCAAUGGACGCACACAGUGUAAAGAAACGGAAGACAUGGGCUGGGCGCGGUGGCUCAAGCCUCUAAUCCCAGCACUUUGGGAGGCCGAGGUGGGUGGAUUGCCUGAGGUUAGGAGUUCAAGACCAGCCUGGCCGAGCUGGUGAAACCCCGUCUCAACUGCAAAUACAAAAAUUAGCUGGGUGUGGUGGUGGGCACCUGUAAUGCCAGGUACUCAGGAGGCUGAGGCAGGAGAAUCACUUGAACCCAGGAGGCAGAGGUAGCAGUGAGCCGAGAUUGAGCCAUUGCACUCCAGCCUGGGUGACUGGACGAGACUUCGUCUUAAAAAAAAAAAAAGAAAAAAGGAAGGGAAGAGCAGAGGAGAAAUAUCACAGUUAGUACUCAUAUCUCUUAGACCCCUUCUGAGUAGGAGUGAACAGGACCUGGCCUUCCUGUCUGCCGAAAGCAUGGCAUGGACAUCAUCCUAAAUGCCUCAAGAAUGGAGUUUCAUUGCUUUCUCUUGUCUUCUCCAUCUGUAUGUGAUGAUGGCAGUGACACCAGCAGAAAUUGGUUGGGGGGCAGAACAGGAAUCAGGUCCCCACUUCUCUGACACGGAGCAGACAGGACACAAAUCAGCAGGGAUGGACUUCAGGGUCAGGACACAGGUCCCAGGCCUGAUCUUCCUGGGGCUGGGACAGAUGAGUUUUUCUUUUUCACCUCUUCUGGAAGUCACUUGAGGAAUGGUCCUUGAGGAGACACUGUUGACCAAGGGUUGUCUGGCCCAGAAAUGUGUUUUUGUUGUUUUGUUUGUUUGUUUGUUUUGAGACAGAGUCUCACUCUGUUGCCCAGGCUGGAGUGCAGUGGCAGGAUCUGAACUCUCUGCAACCUCCACCUCCCAGGUUCAAGUGAUUCUCCUGCCUCAGCCUGCUGAGUAGCUGGAAUUACAGACGUGCACCACCAUGCCCAGCUAAUUUUUGUAUUUAUAGUAGAGAUGGGGUUUCUCCAUGUUGGCCAGGCUGGUCUUGAACUCCUUCAGAUGAUCCACCUGCCUCAGCCUCCCAAAGUGCUGGGAUUACAGGCGUGAGCCACUGUGCCUGGCUGACGUGUUUCAACUGGACAGCGCCCCCUAGCACUGGGCCUGUAGCUGCAGCACUCCCGAGUAGCAGGGGAGGUGAGGAGGGACACGAGUGCCAGUGCACCAUGAGCUCAGCAGAGGGAUGGGGACUGAUUCCAGAGUCCAGCUCAUCCUUGCAACUCUUCUUAGAAUCCAGAGUACAUCAGUUUCCACUUAUUUUAUAGAAGGUUUGGAAUCUUCAGUGUCAAAGUCUGUGUUGUGUCUUCCCACAGGGUGGAUAGAGGAACCCUGGCUAUGGGUGUUUUCUGCCAGGGCAGUGACUGUGUCUUCCUCAUUAGUCCUUAUCCCAGAGCUCAGUCCUGGGGCGAACAUGUUAGGCCCCAUGGGCAUUGUAAUGAACACAUCCCUGGGAUGAGUUCUAGGUCGCCUCUGGGGUGGGAUCUAGCUUAGUUGUGGAAAUGUUCCCUUCUCAGCCUGUCCAGCCUGUUGAGCCCUACACCAAUCCUGGAGGCUGCCCCAGCUUCUGAGUCAGGGUCCCUGGAGAUGAACUUGAGCUCCUGAGGACAGUGAGGUACCCCUGCCCCUCGGUUCCUGCUGCGCUGAUCCUGUCUAGACAGGCUGUGCAGGGCCACGCUCUUCCCCUGUGUGCACGUGCGCCCCCUGCUGGAAUCCCUCUGGACCUGGAUGUUGUCCUCAUUGUUGUCAUAUCCCCAGCCCCACACAGUGACUGGCACUUGUGCAGAUGCCCAGGAAGUAACCAUAAACGUAUGGUAGGAGCAGAGCUGCAAACUAUUUCGCAAGAAAACACCAGGGGAGGGGAGUCAUGUCUUCCUCAUGUCUGGAUCUCCUGUGCCGUCUAGUGUGGUUCUCAGUCAUAUAUGUGCCGCCUCGUAUUUUUUUUUUGAGGUGGAAUCUCGCUCUGUCGCCCAGACUGGAGUGCAGUGGCGUGAUCUCGGCUCACUGCAAGCUCCACCUCCCGGGUUCACGCCAUUCUCCAGCCUCAGCCUCCCGAGUAGCUGGGACUACAGGCGCCUGCCACCACGCCCGGCUAAUUUUUUUUUAUUUUUAGUAGAGACGGGGUUUCAUGGUGUUAGCCAGGAUGGUCUCGAUCUCCUGACCUCAUGAUCCGCCCACCUCGACUUCCCAAAGUGCUGGGAUUACAGGCAUGAGCCAACGUGCCCGGCCCUCAUUUAAAUACAUUGAAAUAUUUACAAUUAAAAGUUCAGGGCCGGGCAUGGUGGCUCACGCCUAUAAUUUCAGCACUUUGGGAGGCCGGGGCGGGUGGAUCAUCUGAGGUCAGGAGAUCGAGACCAGUCUGGCCAACGUGGUGAAACCCCGUCUCUACAAAAAUUAGCUGGGUGUGGUGGUGCACACCUGUAAUCCCAGCUACUCGGGAGACUGAGGCAGGAGAAUCACCUGAACCCGGGAGGCGGAGGUUGCAGUGAGCUGAGAUCAUGUCAUUGUACUCCAGCCUGGGCAGCAAGAAUGAAACUCUGUCUCGAAAAAAAAAAAAAAAAUUUCAGAACCUCAUCACAAUAGCCACCGUGCAGUGGCCCAGCAGCCUUAUGUUAAUGAAGCGGAGAGAUUUCCAUCCCCGCAGAAUGCUCUUUCACAUCUGCUGUGAGCCUGGCUGAGGGACCGAUUGUUGAACUCCUCUAACUCAAAGUGUGCACAUGAAAGUGGGAAUCUCAGGGCUGUGAGAUUGGAGGUGAGACCUGUAAUGGGCCAGUGGAAGGAAAAAGUUGAAAGGUGGUUCCUUCAGUUUCUCUUUCUCAAUCGAAGGCUGGCAAGUGUGAGCAAUGCCUUUUUACAGACCUCUGACUCCACAGAGACCACGGAGAGUCUGACAACACCGAGGAAAGGGCAGAGUGAUGUGUAACCCAGUGUGGCCUCACCUGCAGUAGGAGGCUGGGCGAGUUGCUCUCUGGAAUAACUUCUUGCAGAGUUUUUGUCUCUUAAUGAUUGGCCAAUGGACACCAUCCAUGAGGGCAGCUGCAAUGAGGCAGAUCUGCAGGUAGAGAAUGAUACUCUAGGAGGAUCUCUGGGAGCAGUUGGGUGACACCUGUUGGUUUGGAACCUAGGAAAAGGGCAAUGAAGUCAGAACCGAAGGAAAUAUGCGUAGAAGUCUGACUUGUUCCUUUUGUAUUUUAGUAAGAUAGAGAUGAGACAAUACAUGUCCAUGGACUUUAUGUGCUGUGUUUGUAACCAUUUUUUUUCUUGCUCUGGUGUUUAAUGGUUACCUUUCCACAAGACCAGUUUUUCCUAUGUCACAGCAAACAUCAAAGCCCUGAUUUUUGAUUGGUUAGUAUCUUCUGGGACUUGGGAAUGCAAGAGUCUUAUUAGGUCUGGGCACUGGCUAAGAUGCAAGGUAUCUGGUGAGACUCCCUCAUGCUCACUACUUGAACACAGUUGUUUCUCUGAGAUGUCUCAAUAUCUUCAGUCCCACGCUCCAUGUGCCGCAUCCAGCAAGCUCCCUGAGGGACUCCCAGUCUCCAACCACCAGCGCACUGACAUUAACUGCGUGUCCUUUUAGGUCCCCCUGAGGACCGCCUGAGUUUAAAACUUCUACCACCAAGUGAGGAAGACAAUGAUGACACCAAGAUUUUACCAUCACCUAUCCAGGCUUCUCUUGAGGACAACCUGACUUUAGUAUGCCUACCACCAAGUGAAGAUGAUUGUGAUGAUGACAAUGAUGAUGAUGAUGCCCAGGUAAGACCACCUUUCUUUGUCUUCUAAGGAAAUGUUGGUUUUCUGAUGUGAGAAACAAACUCACCAGUCCAAACCUAAAGAAUGGACUCAGGGAGCUGAAAAACAGUAACAGUGAGAUUUUCUUUCCUUUUCUUUUUAAUUAUACUUUAAGUUGUAGGGUACAUGUGCACAAUGUGCAGAUUAGUUACAUAUGUAUAUAUGUGCCAUGUUGGUGUGCUGCACCCAUUAACUCGUCAUUUAACAUUAGGUAUAUCUCCUAAUGCUAUCCCUCCCCACUCUCCCCACCCCACAACAGGCCCCAGUGUGUGAUGUUCCCCUUCCUGUGUCCAUGUGUUCUCAUUGUUCAAUUCCCACCUAAUGAGAACAUGCAGUGUUUGGUUUUUUGUCCUUGCAAUAGUUUGCUUGCUUUCCAGCUUCAUCCAUGUCCCUACAAAGGACAUGAACUCAUCAUUUUUUAUGGCUGCAUAGUAUUCCAUGAUGUGUAUGUGCCACAUUUUCUUAAUCCAGUCUGUCGUUGUUGGACAUUUGGGUUGGUUCCAAGUCUUUGCUAUUGUGAAUAGUGCCGCUAUAAACAUACGUGUGCAUGUGUCUUUACAGCAGCAUGAUUUAGAAUCCUUUGGGUAUAUACCCAGUAAUGGGAUGGCUGGGUCAAAUGGUAUUUCUAGUUCUAGAUCCCUGAGGAAUCGCCACACUGACUUCCACAAUGGUUGAACUAGUUUACAGUCCACCAACAUUGUAAACGUGUUCCUAUUUCUCCACAUCCUCUCCAGCACCUGUUGUUGCCUGACUUUUUAAUGAUUGCCAUUCUAACUGGUGUGAGAUGGUAUCUCAUUGUGGUUUUGAUUUGCAUUUCUCUGAUGGCCAGUGAUGGUGAGCAUUUUUUCAUGUCUUUUGGCUGCAUAAAUGUCUUCUUUGGAGAAGUGUCUGUUCAUAUCCUUCGCCCACUUCUUGAUGGGGUUGUUUGUUUUUUUCUUGUAAAUUUGUUUGAGUUCAUUGUAGAUUCUGGAUAUUAGCCCCUUGUCAGAUGAGUAGAUUGCAAAAAUUUUCUCCCAUUCUGUAGGUUGUCUGUUCACUCUGAUGGUAGUUUCUUUUGCUGUGCAGAAGCUCUUUAGUUUAAUUAGAUCCCAUUUGUCUAUUUUGGCUUUUGUUGCCAUUGCUUUUGGUGUUUUAGACAUGAAGUCCUUGCCCAUGCCUAUGUCCUAAAUGGUAUUGCCUUGGUUUUCUCCUAGGGUUUUUGUGGUUUCAGGUCUAACAUGUAAGUCUUUAAUCCAUCUUGAAUUAAUAUUUGUAUAAGGUAUAAGGAAGGGAUCCAGUUUCAGCUUUCUACAUGUGGCUAGCCAGUUUUCCCAGCCCCACUGGUUAAAUAGGGAAUCGUUUCCCCAUUUCUUGUUUUUGUCAGGUUUGUCAAAGAUCAGAUGGUUGUAGAUAUGCGGCAUUAUUUCUGAGGGCUCUGUUCUGUUCCAUUGGUCUAUAUCUCUGUUUUGGUACCAGUACCAUGCUGUUUUGGUUACUGUGGCCUUGUAGUAUAGUUUGAAGUCAGGUAGCGUGAUGCCUCCAGCUUUGUUCUUUUGGCUUAGGAUUCACUUGGCAAUGCGGGCUUUUUGGUUCCAUAUGAACUUUAAAGUAGUUUUUUCCAAUUCUGUGAAGAAAGUCAUUGGUAGCUUGAUGGGGAUGGCAUUGAAUCUAUAAAUAACCUUGGGCAGUAUGGCCAUUUUCAUGAUAUUGAUUCUUCCUACCCAUGAGCAUGUAAUGUUUUUCCAUUUGUUUGUAUCCUCUUUUAUUUCAUUGAGCAGUGGUUUGUAGGUCUAUCAAUUGUGUUGAUCUUUUCAAAAAACCAGCUCCUGGAUUCACUGAUUUUUUGAAGGGUUUUUUGUGUCUCUAUUUCCUUCAGUUCUGCUCUUAGUUAUUUCUUGCCUUCUGCUAGCUUUUGAAUGUGUUUGCUCUUGCUUCUCUAGUUCUUUUAAUUGUGAUGUUAGGGUGUCAAUUUUAGAUCUUUCCUGCUUUCUCUUGUGGACAUUUAGUGCUAUAAAUUUCCCUCUACACACUGCUUUGAAUGUGUCCCAGAGAUUCUGGUAUGUUGUGUCUUUGUUCUCAUUGGUUUCAAAGAACAUCUUUAUUUCUGCCUUCAUUUCGUUAUGUACCCAGUAGUCAUUCAGGAGCAGGUUGUUCAGUUUCCACGUAGUUGAGUGGUUUUGAGUGAGUUUCUUAAUCCUGAGUUCCAGUUUGAUUGCACUGUGGUGUGAGAGACAGUUUGUUAUAACUUCUGUUCUUUUACAUUUGCUGAGGAGUGCUUUACUUCCAACUAUGUGGUCAAUUUUGGAAUAGGUGUGGUGUGGUCCUGCAAAGAAUGUAUAUUCUGUUGAUUUGGGGUGGAGAGUUCUGUAGAUGUCUAUUAGGUCCGCUUGGUGCAGAGCUGAGUUCAAUUCCUGCAUAUCCUUGUUAACUUUCUAUCUCGUUGAUCUGUCUAAUGUUGACAGUGGGGUGUUAAAGUCUCCCAUUAUUAUCGUGUGGGAGUCUAAGUCUCUUUGUAGGUCUCUAAGGACUUGCUUUAUGAAUCUGGGUGCUCCUGUAUUGGGUGCAUAUAUAUUUAGGAUAGUUAGCUCUUCUUGUUGAAUUGAUCCCUUUACCAUUAUGUAAUGGCCUUCUUUGUCUCUUCUGAUCUUUGUUGGUUUAAAGUCUGUUUUAUCAGAGACUAGGAUUUUGCAACCCCUGCCUUUUUUUGUUUUCCAUUUGCUUGGUAGAUCUUCCUCCAUCCCUUUAUUUUAAGCCUAUGUGUGUCUCUGCACGUGAGAUGGGUUUCCUGAAUACAGCACACUGAUGGGUCUUGACUCUUUAUCCAAUUUGCCAGUCUGUGUCUUUUAAUUGGAGCAUUUAGCCCAUUUACAUUUAAGGUUAAUAUUGUUAUGUGUGAAUUUGAUCCUGUCAUUAUGAUGUUAGCUGGUUAUUUUGCUCGUUAGUUGAUGCAGUUUCUUCCUAGCCUCGAUAGUCUUUACAAUUUGACAUGUUUUUGCAGUAGCUGGUACCAGUUGUUCCUUUCCAUGUUUAGUGCUUCCUUCAGGAGCUCUUUUAGGGCAGGCCUGGUGGUGACAAAAUCUCUCAGCACUUGCUUGUCAGUGAAGGAUUUUAUUUCUCCUUCACUUAUGAAGCUUAAUUUGGCUGGAUAUGAAAUUCUGGAUUGAAAAUUCUUUUCUUUAAGAAUGUUGAAUAUUGGCCCCCACUCUCUUCUGGCUUGUAGAAUUUCUGCUGAGAGAUCAGCUGUUAGUCUGAUGGGCUUCCCUUUGCGGGUAACCCGACCUUUCUCUCUGGCUGCCCUUAACAUUUUUUCCUUCAUUUCAACUUUGGUGAAUCUGACAAUUAUGUGUCUUGGAGUUGCUCUUCUCGAGGAGUAUCUUUGUGGCGUUCUCUGUAUUUCCUGAAUCUGAAUGUUGGCUUGCCUUGCUAGAUUGGGGAAGUUCUCCUGGAUAAUAUCCUACAGAGUGUUUUCCAACUUGGUUCCAUUCUCCCCAUCACUUUCAGGUACACCAAUCAGACGUAGAUUUGGUCUUUUCACAUAGUCCCAAAUUUCUUGGAGGCUUUGUUCAUUUCUUUUUAUUCUUUUUUCUCUAAACUUCUCUUCUCGCUUCAUUUCAUUCAUUUGAUCUUCCAUCACUGAUACCCUUUGUUCCAGUUGAUCGAAUUGGCUACUGAGGCUUGUGCAUUCGUCACGUAGUUCUCGUGCUGUGGUUUUCAGCUCCAUCAGGUCCUUUAAGGACUUCUCUGCAUUGGUUAUUCUAGUUAGCCAUUCAUCUAAUCUUUUUUCAAGGUUUUUAACUUCUUUGCCAUGGGUUCGAACUUCCUCCUUUAGCUCCGAGUAGUUUGAUCAUCUGAAGCCUUCUUCUCUCAACUCGUCAUUCUCCAUCCAGCUUUGUUCCAUUGCUGGUGAGGAGCUGCAUUCCUUUGGAGCAGGAGAGGCACUCUGAUUUUUAGACUUUUCAGUUUUUCUGCUCCGUUUUUUCCCCAUCUUUGUGGUUUUAUCUAUCUUUGGUCUUUGAUGAUGGUGACGUACAGAUGGGGUUUUGCUGUGGAUGUCCUUUCUGUUUUGUUAGUUUUCCUUCUAACAGUCAGGACCCUCAGCUGCAGGUCUGUUGGAGUUUGCUGGAGGUCCACUCCAGAACCUGUUUGCCUGGGUAUCAGCAGUGGGGGCUGCAGAAAGCGGAUAUUGGUGAACAGCAAAUGUUGCUGCCUGAUCGUUCCUCUGGAAGUUUUGUCUCAGAGGAGUACCCAGCCGUUUGAGGUGUCAGUCUGCCCCUACUGGGGGGUGCCUCCCAGUUGGGCUACUCGGGGGUCAGGGACCCACUUGAGGAGGCAGUCUGUCCAUUCUCAGAUCUCCAGCUGCAUGCUGGGAGAACCACUACUCUCUUCAAAGCUGUCAGACAGGGACAAUUAAGUCUGCAGAGGUUUCUGCUGCCUUUUGUUUGGCUAUACCUUGCCCCCAGAGGUGGAGUCCACAGAGGCAGGUGGGCCUCCUUGAGCUGCGGUGGACUCCACCCAGUUCGAGCUUCCUGGCUGCUUUGUUUACCUACUGAAGACUCGGCAAUGGCGGGCGCCCCUCCCCUAGCCUCACUGCCACCUUGCAGUUUGAUCUCAGACUGCUGUGCUAGCAAUGAGCGAGGCUUCGUGGGCGUAGGACCCUCCAAGCAAGGUGCGGGAUACAGUCUCCUGGUGUGCCAUUUGCUAAGACCUUUGGAAAAGUGCAGUAUUAGGGUGAGAGUCACCCGAUUUUCCAGGUGCCAUCUGUCAUCCCUUUCCUUGGCUAGGAAAGGGAAUUCCCUGACCCCAUGCACUUCCUGGGUGAGGCGAUGCCUCGCCCUGCUUCGGCUCACGCUCGGUGCGCUGCACCUGCUGUCCGACAAUCCCCAGUGAGAUGAACCCGGUACCUCAGUUGGAAAUGCAGAAAUCAUUUGUCUUCUGCGCCACUCACGCUGGGAGCUGUAGACUGGAGCUGUUCCUAUUCAGCCAUCUUGGCUCCACCUCCCAUAAUAAACAUUUUAAAACAUUUAAACAUUUCAAACAUUUCUAUUUUUAUUUACAGUAAAGUUUACUCUUUUUGGUGAAGCUAAUAAAACCUAGUAUAAUUUUCUAAAAAUUAUUGACUCAUGUAACUAUCACAAUUGAAAUACAGAAUAUUUCCACCACCACCCCCAAAUUUCUCUAAGCACCCCUUUUUUAGAAACACAGUCUCACUCUGUCACCCAGGCUGGUGUGCAGAGGUGCAAUCUCGGCUCACUGCAAACUCCACCUCCUGGAUUCAAGUGAUUCUCUUGCCUCAGCCUCUCAAGUAGCUGGAAUUACAAGUGUGGUCACCACACCCGGGUAAUUUUUGUAUUUUUAGUAGAGACAGGGUUUCGCCAUGUUGGCCAGGCUGGUCUCAAAUUCCUGGCCCCAAGUGACCCAUCUGCCUCAGCCUCCCACAGUGCUGGGAUUACAGGGGUGAGCCCCUGCUCUCAGCCUCCCACAGUGCUGGGAUUACUGGGGUGAGCCCCUGCUCUCAGCCUCCCACAGUGCUGGGAUUACAGGGGUGAGCCGCUGCUCUCAGCCUCCCACAGUGCUGGGAUUACAGGGGUGACCCACCUGCCUCAGCCUCCCACAGUGCUGGGAUUACAGGGGUGAGCCGCUGCUCUCAGCCUCCCACAGUGCUGGGAUUACAGGGGUGACCCACCUGCCUCAGCCUCCCACAGUGCUGGGAUUACAGGGGUGAGCCCCUGCUCUCAGCCUCCCACAGUGCUGGGAUUACAGGGGUGAGCUGCUGCCUCAGCCUCCCACAGUGCUGGGAUUACAGGGGUGAGCCCCUGCUCUCAGCCUCCCACAGUGCUGGGAUUACAGGGGUGAGCCCCUGCUCUCAGCCUCCCACAGUGCUGGGAUUACAGGGGUGAGCCGCUGCUCUCAGCCUCCCACAGUGCUGGGAUUACAGGGGUGAGCCGCUGCU